UACGUAGGGUGCAAGCGUUAAUCGGAAUUACUGGGCGUAAAGCGUGCGCAGGCGGUUCGCUAAGACAGAUGUGAAAUCCCCGGGCUUAACCUGGGAACUGCAUUUGUGACUGGCGGGCUAGAGUAUGGCAGAGGGGGGUAGAAUUCCACGUGUAGCAGUGAAAUGCGUAGAGAUGUGGAGGAAUACCGAUGGCGAAGGCAGCCUCCUGGGCCAAUACUGACGCUCAUGCACGAAAGCGUGGGGAGCAAACAGG
This 253-nucleotide ribosomal RNA is filed under the name uncultured bacterium. RNAcentral describes it as "partial 16S ribosomal RNA". It matches the Rfam family "Bacterial small subunit ribosomal RNA", at positions 524 to 776 of the family's 1533-position model. The record is from RNAcentral.